CUAUACAUGCAGUCGAACGAACUCUGGUAUUGAUUGGUGCUUGCAUCAUGAUUUACAUUUGAGUGAGUGGCGAACUGGUGAGUAACACGUGGGAAACCUGCCCAGAAGCGGGGGAUAACACCUGGAAACAGAUGCUAAUACCGCAUAACAACUUGGACCGCAUGGUCCGAGUUUGAAAGAUGGCUUCGGCUAUCACUUUUGGAUGGUCCCGCGGCGUAUUAGCUAGAUGGUGGGGUAACGGCUCACCAUGGCAAUGAUACGUAGCCGACCUGAGAGGGUAAUCGGCCACAUUGGGACUGAGACACGGCCCAAACUCCUACGGGAGGCAGCAGUAGGGAAUCUUCCACAAUGGACGAGAGUCUGAUGGAGCAACGCCGCGUGAGUGAAGAAGGGUUUCGGCUCGUAGAACUCUGUUGUUAAAGAAGAACAUAUCUGAGAGUAACUGUUCAGGUAUUGACGGUAUUUAACCAGAAAGCCACGGCUAACUACGUGCCAGCAGCCGCGGUAAUACGUAUGUGGCAAGCGUUGUCCGGAUUUAUUGGGCGUAAAGCGAGCGCAGGCGGUUUUUUAAGUCUGAUGUGAAAGCCUUCGGCUCAACCGAAGAAGUGCAUCGGAAACUGGGAAACUUGAGUGCAGAAGAGGACAGUGGAACUCCAUGUGUAGCGGUGAAAUGCGUAGAUAUAUGGAAGAACACCAGUGGCGAAGGCGGCUGUCUGGUCUGUAACUGACGCUGAGGCUCGAAAGUAUGGGUAGCAAACAGGAUUAGAUACCCUGGUAGUCCAUACCGUAAACGAUGAAUGCUAAUUGUUGGAAGGGUUUCCGCCCUUCAGUGCUGCAGCUAACGCAUUAAGCAUUCCGCCUGGG
Molecule: ribosomal RNA, 864 nt
Filed under: Lactiplantibacillus plantarum
Lineage: Bacteria; Bacillati; Bacillota; Bacilli; Lactobacillales; Lactobacillaceae
Description: bacterial SSU rRNA
Rfam family: Bacterial small subunit ribosomal RNA
Source: RNAcentral